GACGAACGCUGGUGGCGUGCCUAAUACAUGCAAGUCGAGCGAGCUUGCCUAGAUGAAUUUGGUGCUUGCACCAGAUGAAACUAGAUACAAGCGAGCGGCGGACGGGUGAGUAACACGUGGGUAACCUGCCCAAGAGACUGGGAUAACACCUGGAAACAGAUGCUAAUACCGGAUAACAACACUAGACGCAUGUCUAGAGUUUAAAAGAUGGUUCUGCUAUCACUCUUGGAUGGACCUGCGGUGCAUUAGCUAGUUGGUAAGGUAACGGCUUACCAAGGCAAUGAUGCAUAGCCGAGUUGAGAGACUGAUCGGCCACAUUGGGACUGAGACACGGCCCAAACUCCUACGGGAGGCAGCAGUAGGGAAUCUUCCACAAUGGACGCAAGUCUGAUGGAGCAACGCCGCGUGAGUGAAGAAGGGUUUCGGCUCGUAAAGCUCUGUUGGUAGUGAAGAAAGAUAGAGGUAGUAACUGGCCUUUAUUUGACGGUAAUUACUUAGAAAGUCACGGCUAACUACGUGCCAGCAGCCGCGGUAAUACGUAGGUGGCAAGCGUUGUCCGGAUUUAUUGGGCGUAAAGCGAGUGCAGGCGGUUCAAUAAGUCUGAUGUGAAAGCCUUCGGCUCAACCGGAGAAUUGCAUCAGAAACUGUUGAACUUGAGUGCAGAAGAGGAGAGUGGAACUCCAUGUGUAGCGGUGGAAUGCGUAGAUAUAUGGAAGAACACCAGUGGCGAAGGCGGCUCUCUGGUCUGCAACUGACGCUGAGGCUCGAAAGCAUGGGUAGCGAACAGG
Molecule: ribosomal RNA, 788 nt
Filed under: uncultured Lactobacillus sp.
Lineage: Bacteria; Bacillati; Bacillota; Bacilli; Lactobacillales; Lactobacillaceae
Description: bacterial SSU rRNA
Rfam family: Bacterial small subunit ribosomal RNA
Source: RNAcentral